CGACGCAAUCAAAUUAUUUAUCCAGCAAGGGAUCGAUGUCAAUGGGGAAAACAACUACGAAAACAACGCACUCUAUUUAUUAUGUAAAUUUAAUAGAGGCGAAAGACUGAUCGAUGUAAUCCAACUGUUAAUCGAAUUUGGGAUUGAUGUCAAUGGGGAAAACGAUGAAGGAGACGCACUCCAUUUAUUGUGUCAAUUUAAUAGAAGCGAAAGAUUAAUCGACGCAAUCAAAUUGUUAAUCCAAGGUGGAUUUGAUGUCGAUGGCAACAAUGUGCGCUCAUUUCUAUGGGAGAAGGCCAAUAUUAAUUAUGAUAAAAUUAUUAAACUCUUUCAAUCAUUGACAAUUGAUUUCAUCUUCUGAUGCUUUCAGCCGAUCAGAAGUUAGUUGUCACAUUGACAACGUGAUAUGAACAUUUUUUAUUGUUUAACUUACAGUCAUGUCAAAGUAAUUUGCAGAAAACACUGAGCGAUUAAACGAAUCAUUAGGUAGUUAGCUACCAGCAAAGAAUUGUCGACAAAAUUAACGGGCAAGUAACCAAAGCAAAUGACUGGCUCUUCUCGGGAUAAUAGCACAACAAGUUUAAUUCAUUCUUAUUGGCAUUUCUAGAAACUUCGGCAGAUUUGAUGGGAACGAAGGACUUUGUCAAGGAAUAAGACAACAAAUGAACCGAGGAUAUAAGUCAAUUGAGGCACAUUCAAAGAAUCGCCGAAUAAUUCAACCAAACGCCAAGUUCAAGUUCAAAUUCCAUGCUCAACAUUUAGUAACAAAAGGCCAACAUUUACAGUUCAAUAUCUAACAGCAUUAUGACUUUUCCAAUAAAUAGGGAUUCAAAACCCAA
Molecule: long non-coding RNA, 839 nt
Organism: Daphnia pulex (common water flea)
Lineage: Eukaryota; Metazoa; Arthropoda; Branchiopoda; Diplostraca; Daphniidae
Exons: 2
Source: RefSeq, a predicted model, not a curated record